AUGUUACUCCCUCCGUUUUGAAUUACUUGUCUUAGAUUUGUCUAGAUACGGAGGUAUCUAGCACUAAAAUGAGUCUAGAUACAUCCAUAUCUAGACAAAUCCAAGACAAGUAAUUCGGAACGGAGGAAGUACAUA
This is a non-coding RNA of Triticum aestivum (bread wheat), 135 nucleotides long. The record is from Rfam. Lineage: Eukaryota; Viridiplantae; Streptophyta; Magnoliopsida; Poales; Poaceae.